This 72-nucleotide transfer RNA is filed under the name Ganoderma lucidum G.260125-1. RNAcentral describes it as "tRNA-Pro (CGG) (tRNA-Pro-CGG-2-1)". It matches the Rfam family "tRNA". Rfam says of the family: Transfer RNA (tRNA) molecules are approximately 80 nucleotides in length. Their secondary structure includes four short double-helical elements and three loops (D, anti-codon, and T loops). Further hydrogen bonds mediate the characteristic L-shaped molecular structure. tRNAs have two regions of fundamental functional importance: the anti-codon, which is responsible for specific mRNA codon recognition, and the 3' end, to which the tRNAs corresponding amino acid is attached (by aminoacyl-tRNA synthetases). tRNAs cope with the degeneracy of the genetic code in two manners: having more than one tRNA (with a specific anti-codon) for a particular amino acid; and 'wobble' base-pairing, i.e. permitting non-standard base-pairing at the 3rd anti-codon position. RNAcentral also lists the same sequence under 2 other names. Lineage: Eukaryota; Fungi; Basidiomycota; Agaricomycetes; Polyporales; Polyporaceae. The record is from RNAcentral.
GGCCUAAUGGUCUAGUAGUAUGAUUCGCGCUUCGGGUGCGCGAGGUCCUGGGUUCAAUUCCCAGUUAGGCCC